GUGGGGAAUUUUGCGCAAUGGGCGAAAGCCUGACGCAGCAACGCCGCGUGGAGGAUGAAGGCCUUCGGGUCGUAAACUCCUGUCGAUGGGGACGAAGUUCCGAAAGGGAUUGACUGUACCCGUUGAGGAAGCCACGGCUAACUCCGUGCCAGCAGCCGCGGUAAUACGGAGGUGGCAAGCGUUGUUCGGAAUUACUGGGCGUAAAGGGCGCGUAGGCGGCAUAACAAGUCAGAUGUGAAAGCCCCGGGCUUAACCUGGGAACUGCAUCUGAAACUGUAUUGCUUGAGUUCUGGAGGGGGUAGUGGAAUUCCCAGUGUAGCGGUGAAAUGCGUAGAUAUUGGGAGGAACACCUGCGGCGAAGGCGGCUACCUGGACAGUGACUGACGCUGAGGCGCGAAAGCUAGGGGAGCGAACGGGAUUAGAAACCCUAGUAGUCC
RNAcentral lists this ribosomal RNA (437 nucleotides) under uncultured bacterium. RNAcentral describes it as "bacterial SSU rRNA". It matches the Rfam family "Bacterial small subunit ribosomal RNA", at positions 354 to 796 of the family's 1533-position model. The record is from RNAcentral.